CCUACGGGAGGCAGCAGUGGGGAAUAUUGCACAAUGGGGGAAACCCUGAUGCAGCAACGCCGCGUGAGUGAAGAAGUAUUUCGGUAUGUAAAGCUCUAUCAGCAGGGAAGCGAAUGACGGUACCUGACUAAGAAGCCCCGGCUAACUACGUGCCAGCAGCCGCGGUAAUACGUAGGGGGCGAGCGUUAUCCGGAUUUACUGGGUGUAAAGGGAGCGUAGACGGUUCUGCAAGUCUGAAGUGAAAGCCCGGGGCUUAACCGCGGAACGGCUUUGGAAACUGUGGAACUGGAGUGCUGGAGAGGCAAGCGGAAUGCCUAGUGUAGCGGUGAAAUGCGUAGAUAUUAGGAGGAACACCAGUGGCGAAGGCGGCUUGCUGGACAGUAACUGACGUUGAGGCUCGAAAGCGUGGGGAGCAAACAGGAUUAGAUACCCUUGUAGUC
RNAcentral lists this ribosomal RNA (440 nucleotides) under uncultured bacterium. Its description in RNAcentral is "partial 16S ribosomal RNA". It matches the Rfam family "Bacterial small subunit ribosomal RNA", at positions 338 to 795 of the family's 1533-position model. The record is from RNAcentral.